Molecule: ribosomal RNA, 1847 nt
Filed under: Trebouxiophyceae sp. MX-AZ01
Lineage: Eukaryota; Viridiplantae; Chlorophyta; Trebouxiophyceae
Description: SSU rRNA
Rfam family: Bacterial small subunit ribosomal RNA
Source: RNAcentral
AAGAGCAAGAGUUUGAUCCUGGCUCAGAAUGAACGCUAGUGGCAGGCCUGACACAUGCAAGUCGAACGUGGCUCUAGGCUGUCGCCGGAGCCAAGUGGCAAACGGGUGAGUAAUGCGUGAGAAUCUGCCUCACACCGCGGUGGAAGUGGUAGCAGGCUCGCCUGUCUGCCUCGCAUCCCGCAUAGAUUGGUCUCCAGAGGGGGACUCCCCCUUUGGAGGCCUAGCAAAGGGUUUGAACCGGUGUGAGAUGAGCUCCCGUAGGAUUAGGUAGUUGGUGAGGUAAGAGCUCGACCAAGCCAAAGAUCCUUAGCCGGUCUGAGAGGACGAUCGGCCACACUGGGACUGAGACACGGCCCAGACGCUUUCGAGCGGCAGCAGUGAGGAAUCUUGGACAAUGGGCGGAAGCCUGAUCCAGCCAUGCCACGUGAGGGAUGAAGGCUAAAUGGGUUGUAAACCUCUGAUCCUGCCCAAGAUUGUGACACGGGGCAGGAGAAAAGUCCCGGCUUCACAGGUGGCUAAAGCCACGCUAGUGGAGCCAUUCGGCUUCACAGGUGGCAUUCGCCACCCCUUGCGGGGGAGGGGAGCGAGGUUGAAGAAUCCCUGGGCUUGCCCGAGGGGCGUCAAAGGGGGGUUAGGGCAGGGCCGAGGGUAGGCCUGUCCUGACGGUUGGGUUUGGCUGGAGUAAGUGAGAGGGGAGAGGAAUUCCUGGAGGAGAGGUGAAAUUCGUAGAUACCAGGAGGAAGGCCGAAAGCGAAGGCAUCUCCCUGGCGCUUGACUGACGCUGAGGUGCGAAAGCGUGGGGAGCAAAAGGGAUUAGAGACCCCUGUAGUCCACGCCCUCAACGAUGAGGAUUCACUAUUGGACACCCCAUGGGGGGUGGCGAAUGCCACCUGGGACGGCGAAUGCUGUCCCAACAAGACAACCCAAGGGAUGGUCGGUGGUCUAGCUAACGCGUUAAAUCCUCCGCCUGAGGAGUACGGCCGCAAGGCUAAAACUCAAAGGAAUAGACGGGGGCUCAUACAAGUGGUGGAACAUGUGGUUUAAUUCGAAACAACGCGCAAAACCUUACCAGCCCUUGACAUUGAUUCGAUCUCUCUCCCUACCGAGAGAGCAAGCAGUCAACAGGUGUUGCAUGGCUGUCGUCAGCUCGUGUCGCAAGAUGUUUGGUUAGUUCCUUUAACGAGCGCAACCCUCAUGGGAUCUUGCCAGAGGCUAGGACAUGUCCCAUUGGCAUCAUCUAAACAAUAAUGCCAAUGGGACAUGUCCUGGACAGGGCACUGUUCCCAAACUGCCUAUGAUAUAUAGGAGGAAGGCGAGGAUGACGUCAAGUCGUCAUGACCCUUAUGGGCUGGGCUACACACGUGUUACAAUGGCGAUCACAAAGGGAAGCAAUGAUGCAAAUCGGAGCAAAGCCACGAGAAAAUCGCCCUAGUUCGGAUUGCUUUCUGCAACUCGAAAGCAUGAAGAUGGAAUCACUAGUAAUCGUGGAUCAGCACGCCACGGUGAAUUCGUACCUGGGCCUUGUACUCCCCGCCCGUCACGCUCUGGAAGUCGAAUGGCUUGGAAGUCUCCUCUUCCUCCCCAGCAAUCCCGCUUGUCUACAUGCCUGCCCGGUGUGCCACCCCCCUCGACUUAUCGAGAGAGGGGUGGGUGGCUCUAGCCACCAGUGAAGGCAAAUGCCUCCACCAGAAGAGGAGACGGGAUUGUGGAGGAGAUGAAGUGACCAAGAACUGUUUGGCAACUGGAGCGAAGUCGUAACAAGGUAGCCGUAGGGGAACCUGCGGCUGGAUUGACUCCUUUCCUUUGAUUCCUCGUCAAACCGGUAGGCUUGCUUGUGAGUCACAACU